This is a long non-coding RNA of Coregonus clupeaformis (lake whitefish), 221 nucleotides long. RefSeq lists it as uncharacterized. The record is from RefSeq and is a predicted model, not a curated record. The transcript has 4 exons. Lineage: Eukaryota; Metazoa; Chordata; Actinopteri; Salmoniformes; Salmonidae.
GUCUUAGUUACAUGGAAGAUGUGGAGAAAGCAUAAGGACAAUAAGGCCAUGGACCAGACAACAAACACCUCAGUGCAGGACCCAUUUCCUGCCAAUGGUGAUGAUGUGACUUACAGCACUGUUGUCCCCAAGAGGAGGAACCAGCUAAAUGUACAGACCAAGGCAGAACCAGAUGAUAAUGUGGUCUACAGCUCACUAUCCCUACAGCUGGACCCAUUUCC